This 1381-nucleotide long non-coding RNA is filed under the name Homo sapiens (human). Its description in RNAcentral is "HSALNT0195016". The record is from RNAcentral. Lineage: Eukaryota; Metazoa; Chordata; Mammalia; Primates; Hominidae.
UUGAACCCAGGAGGUGGAGGUUGCGGUGAGCCGACAUCAUGCCAUUGCACUCCAGCCUGGGAAAACUCCAUCUCAAAAAAAAAAGAAAGAAAAAAGAAAAUUGAAUUUAUAACUUCACAUCUCCCAAGAAAAAUAAUCAGGCCCAGAUGGUUUCACUGGAGAAUUAUAACAAACCUUUAAAAAUAAAUUAACACUAAUUCUACACAAUCUCUUCUAGAAAAAUAAAAGAGAAGGAAAGGGAACCCUAUCCGAUUCAUUUUAUGAGGCCAGCAUCACCCUGAUACCAAAACCAGAGAAAGACAGUACAAAAAAAGAAAACUACAGACCAAUAUCCUUCAUGAAUAUAGAUGCAAAAAAAAUUUAACCAAAUAUUAGCAAAUAAAAUUCAGCAAUGUGAAAAAAAGAAUUAUACACCAUGACCAAGUUUUGUUUUUUCCAGGGAUGCAGGAUUGGUUUAUGUUUGAAAAUCAAACAUUGAAUUCACCAUGUUAGCAGGCUAAAUAAGAAAAAUCCCAUGAUCAUAUCAAUUGGUGCAGAAAAAAGCAUUUGGCUAAGCUUUACAUCCAUUCAUGAUAAAAACUCCCAGAAAACUAGGUAGAGAGUGAAAACUACCUCAAUGUAAUAAGAACAUCUACAAAAAGCCUAUAGUUAAUGUUUUACUUAAUGGUGAAAGACUGAAUCUUCCCCCUUGCAGGAUACAGUAGCAACAUAUAAAAAUCAAUUAUAUUUCUGUAUACUAGCAAUGAACAAUUUAAUCAAAAUAAAAAUACAAUUUAAAAUCACUCAAAAAAUGAAAUAUUUAGAUGUAAAUUUAACAAAAUAUGUACAGGACCUAUUAAAUGAAAACCACAAGACACUGAUGAAAGAAAUCAAAGAUGUAAAUAAAUAGAGAUUUGCUAUGUUUACAAAUUGGAAGACACAACGUAAUAAAGAUACCAGUUCUCCUCAAACUGAUACAUAGACUUAACCCAAUUCAUAUCACAAUCCGAACAAGAUUCUUUGUAGAUACAGACAAGAAAAUUUUAAAAUUUAUAUUUUACAAUAUAAAUUUUCUAAAAGACAAAGGAACAAGACUAGCUAAAACAAUUUUGGAAAAUAAUAACUUGGAGAAAUCACUCUUUUCUGUUUCAAUAGUAUGCGGUAUUGCUGAUGAGAUACACACAUAGAUCAAUGGAACACAGGAAACCCUUAAAUAGAGUUUUUGCACUUUUUAAAUUUAGCAUAAUCUUUUUUUUUUUUUUUGAGACGGAGUCUCGCUCUGUCACCCAGGCUGGAGUGCAGUGGCGCUAUCUCAGCUCACUGCAAGCCCCGCCUCCCGAGUUCACACCAUUCUCCUGCCUCAGCCUCAGGAGUAGCUGGGACUACAGGCGCCUGCCACCAC